AUUCAAUUGUAAUUUGUAACUACUUUUGAGCAUUCUUUCCACUCUUUCACUCUCGUCCUCUCUUCACAUUCUUUUUUUCUUGCUCAAAGUCUAACUUUGAAAUUCAGAGCUCUUACAUGGUAUUAGAAAGCCAUGUUGAAUCAUGGAGACAACGGUAGUAGUCUUAGAAUUUGACUUGAUCCACCAUUUGGAGAAAUAGUCAAACAACUGCAAGCUCGAGCUGCAAAUCCAAUUCCCGCUCUUGAAGCUCAAACUCCACUCCCCAACUAUCUUCUCCUCCCCCUGAAUCUCAAAUUGGAUUGCACAACUACACUGUUUGGCGAUCACUUAUUCUUGCUGCAGUGUGUGCUUAUGAUAUUGAUGGCUAUAUCUGUGGAACCCUUCCUUAGCCUCUAACAUCUCUUGCAGCUUUUUGCUACCAGAUCCCAUGCAAGGCUUCUGUAACUUUGAAAUCUCCUUCAAACCAUCAUGAAAGAUUCUUUCUCAAUCGAGGAAUAUAUGCUCAAAAUGAAGCAAUAUGUUGAUCACCUUGUAGCUGCUGGCCAACCAAUCAACGAUGAUGAUCUAGUGCUCUACAUUCUUGUGGGUUGAGUAUGAGGCUGUGAUUGCCAACCUCACAUCAAGAACCAAACAUCUCACACUUCAACGAGUCCAAUUCAUGUUGCAGAGUCAAGAGAUGUACAUUCAACAACACACUGCAAAUUCUCUCCAAAAUGUGCAAGCUAAUUUGGCCAAUGCAAAUCUCAAUAGCACAAGAGGUUCAUACUCCAAUUGAGAUUACAGAGGUGAUAACAGAGGAGGUAGAUCAAACAACACAAAUAGAGGUGGUCAGGGCACUAGACCAAUGUGCCAACUAUGUGACAGAGUUGGCCACACAAAUUAAUAGUGAAACGUUAGCACAAAUGUGACAUAAUCUUCACUGGGGCCACACCUAGAUCAACCUCAUCCUCUCUUGGUGUUGAUAAUUCUCAAGCUUUAGUAUUUGAGACUAACUCUACUUCUAAUCUCUCAGCAGCUUGGUACUUAGAUAGCGGAGCAACUCAUCACAUGACAAAUAUGAUGCUAAAAAUCUCACCACUACAGCAAACUACAAGGGCAAAGCCAAGAUUGCUGAUAAGAAAACCAAGAAAGUUCCUCUACAAGGCCACCUCGGUGAAGGUCACUGUAAACUCCAAGUCUCCCCUUCCAGUCCUCAAGAUUCUUUGAAGAAUUCUGAUGUGUUUCUAAGUCCACAUAAUGCUCUAGCCACAUUUAAUAUGUGUUAGUGCUUUUGUUCUAUUAUUGAAUUGUGUUGUAGUCUUUUCACACAUGAAUAAUAGCGAGUAAUGCCAUAAGAAAAAUUAAGAUUUAGAUCUUUAGUAUUGUCGGACAACUUUAAUUAUGGUAGAAAAUUGAGUACAAAUCAUGUUAUAAAAAAUUGGUAUAAUUGUUUGUGCUUUAACUUUAGUUUUUAUAGCAUAUAGGUUCAAGUAAACUUUUUCAUCAAUGUUUGUAUCCUUCAAUACGUAUUAUGUGGAAAGGCAAUCCUAGAACAUUAAAUCUA
Long non-coding RNA from Cannabis sativa, 1543 nucleotides. RefSeq lists it as uncharacterized. Lineage: Eukaryota; Viridiplantae; Streptophyta; Magnoliopsida; Rosales; Cannabaceae. The transcript has 3 exons. The record is from RefSeq and is a predicted model, not a curated record.